RNAcentral lists this unclassified non-coding RNA (305 nucleotides) under plant metagenome. RNAcentral describes it as "partial contains 5.8S ribosomal RNA, internal transcribed spacer 2, and large subunit ribosomal RNA". The stretch from base 1 to 105 matches the Rfam family "5.8S ribosomal RNA", at positions 50 to 154 of the family's 154-position model. The record is from RNAcentral.
GAAAUGCGAUAAGUAAUGUGAAUUGCAGAAUUCAGUGAAUCAUCGAAUCUUUGAACGCACAUUGCGCCCGCCAGUAUUCUGGCGGGCAUGCCUGUUCGAGCGUCAUUUCAACCAUCAAGCCCCCGGCUUGUGUUGGGGACCUGCGGCUGCCCGCAGGCCCUGAAAAACAGUGGCGGGCUCGCUGUCACACCGAGCGUAGUAGCAUACAUUCUCGCUCAGGGCGUGCUGCGGGUUCCGGCCGUUAAAUGACCUUCAUAACCCAAGGUUGACCUCGGAUCAGGUAGGAAGACCCGCUGAACUUAAGC